Molecule: ribosomal RNA, 229 nt
Filed under: uncultured bacterium
Lineage: Bacteria
Description: partial 16S ribosomal RNA
Rfam family: Bacterial small subunit ribosomal RNA
Source: RNAcentral
UAGCGGCGGACGGGUGAGUAACGCGUGGGAACGUGCCCUUUGCUACGGAAUAGUCCCGGGAAACUGGGUUUAAUACCGUAUGUGCCCUUCGGGGGAAAGAUUUAUCGGCAAAGGAUCGGCCCGCGUUGGAUUAGGUAGUUGGUGGGGUAAUGGCCCACCAAGCCGACGAUCCAUAGCUGGUUUGAGAGGAUGAUCAGCCACACUGGGACUGAGACACGGCCCAGACUCC